GGCUCCUAAUGAGAUGGAACAUAUAAAGAAUCCACACUCGUUCUAAGUCUGUGAGUAAUUUUGGUUCCUUAAAAAUUACUUAAUUUUUGUCACAGUAAUUGGGUUCAGUAUAGACUAAAGCUCUGAUCUCUGUCAACACAGUUUUGUUCUCUUACAAGAAGUUGACGCUAAGAUUUGAAACAAACAACACUUGUAGAAAUUAGCAGCAACACAACGGCAUCACAAGGUAAACAAAAUAUAUUGUCCAUAUUAAUUAAUACUUAUUGUGCUUGGAUUUAAGGUGAAAAGAUCAUUAUUUGAAAAGAUCAUUAUGUCAAUAUUGGCUGCAUCUAGAAAGCUUUGAAUGCAUCUAGAAGUGUUGAAUAAACUAGAAUGUUUGGCAUGGCUGUAUCUAGAAGCUUUGACAAGAAUGGUUGGCACUUGGCUUUGAGAAAUUCUAGAUGCCGUAAGCUUGAGGUUUUGGCCACUUGUUUGACAUUUGAGAUAAAAUUUUGCCUAUAAAUACAAGCUCUCAAUCUAGAGCUUGUAUCCAAAUCCCAGAGAUGGAAUCCAAGUUUUGGUGAGAAAUUAAGAGGGAGAAAUAUUCUUAAGCAUGUAGUUAUAUUGAAGGAGCAUUUGGCUCCUCAAUAUGGGUAUUACGGGUUUGCUUUGUUAAGGGGUAUUUCUCAGGAUUAUGUAUUUGGGGCUUGGGUGAGAGAGAAUUAUUUCUGAGAGUGGUUGUAAUAAUUUUCCACAUAGUGAAUAUUUUUCUCUGGUUGUCUUAUGACAACGGCCGUGGUUUUUCUCCGGAUUUGGAGUUUUCCACGUAAAUCUUGUGUUGUUUGAUUGGUGUAUUCUCCAUUUAAUUUUUCUUAUUAAUUUGUUGCUUGAUAAAUUGCUUGGAGAGAUCUUGGGAGGAAACUCAAUUUCCUAACAGUGGUAUCAGAGCCAUUGAUUGAAGUUUUGGUGUCGGGGUACUAUUCACGUAUACGGUACUGUUCACGUGAAGCAGUGGGAGCCAAUCCAAAUAAUCUAUGGUGAAGAGAAUAUGAAGCAAAUAUGUCAACAGCUGGUGUUUUUCAAACUUGGUUGAAGUUUGAUGUUGUUGAAAAAUUAAUGGGAGAAUGAUUUUAUUGGCUUGUGGAGAAUUCAAGUCAAAGGUGUAUCUAAUCUGGUAUGCACAAAGAUUUGAAGGUGUGGAUAAUUUUGGCACCUCAAGAAAAUUGUCAAGAAGGUGGAGUGGGCUCGGCAAAUUACUCCAAAAUCAGUAAAGGAGACACUGAUAUUCUCGCAGAUGGUGAGUUUCCUUUUGAUAGGAGACUGUGUUAGUUCUUUUGGCAUGUAGAUCUCCAAGUUGCCAUGAAAGAGAACAUGUUAUGAUCAGUGGGGUCCACAAGUUUGCACGCGGGCAUUGGCUUGGUAUAAAUGCAAGGUGUGUGGUGGAAAAGUUAUGUCAUGGCUGAAGAAUUCUCAGGGAAACCAAGCAUGAGAAUUGCACCAUAAUUUUCAGCGGAUAUGUUCGACAUGUGCCGGGAAAAAAAAUUCUUAGAAUUGGUAAUUAAUUCUAAGUGGUAUACUCUUUAUGGUGGAGUAUGAUAAUUCUCUAUGUUGAGAAUUAUGACUAAAGGUGAAGACAACAAGGGUGGUGUGAAGAUUGAUUGAUUCUCAAUCAAAUCUCCAAGUGGGAGAAUGUCAAUAUUGGCUGCAUCUAGAAAGCUUUGAAUGCAUCUAGAAGUGUUGAAUAAACUAGAAUGUUUGGCAUGGCUGCAUCUAGAAGCUUUGACAAGAAUGGUUGGCACUUGGCUUUGAGAAAUUCUAGAUGCCGUAAGCUUGAGGUUUUGGCCACUUGUUUGACAUUUGAGAUAAAAUUUUGCCUAUAAAUACAAGCUCUCAAUCUAGAGCUUGUAUCCAAAUCCCAGAGAUGGAAUCCAAGUUUUGGUGAGAAAUUAAGAGGGAGAAAUAUUCUUAAGCAUGUAGUUAUAUUGAAGGAGCAUUUGGCUCCUCAAUAUGGGUAUUACGGGUUUGCUUUGUUAAGGGGUAUUUCUCAGGAUUAUGUAUUUGGGGCUUGGGUGAGAGAAAAUUAUUUCUGAGAGUGGUUGUAAUAAUUUUUCACAUAGUGAAUAUUUUUCUCUGGUUGUCUUGUGACAACGGCCGUGGUUUUUCUCCGGAUUUAGAGUUUUCCACGUAAAUCUUGUAUUGUUUGAUUGGUGUAUUCUCCAUUUAAUUUUUCUUAUUAAUUUAUUGCUUGAUAAAUUGCUUAGAGAGAUCUUGGGGGGAAACUCAAUUUCCUAACACAUUACAGUACAUUAUUUGAAGAACCAGCAUAAUUAAUUUCGAAAAGAUUAAUAUUAAACAGGAUUAAGAAAGCUGCGGAGUACAGAUCAGAAGAGAGGCGCACCCACCGCAAAACAAGGUCAAGACCUAACACGCCCCUCCAAGAAAAAAGGAAAAAAAAAAAAAAAAAGACAAACAGACAAUUAAACAUCAAACUAACAGACACUUCACACGCAGAACUGUCCUGCUAAGAAUUAGUGGACAAACCCUAGACGGUUGGCUAUUUUUAUUUUAUUUUAUUUUAUUUCUUCCGCAUUGAGACGUACACUACUACCACUACAUGUUACUGCAUGUCUAAACAGAACAUGGAUUGAUCCUGAGCUUGUUACUGCAUGCAUGCUGGAUGCAUAAAUUAG
RNAcentral lists this long non-coding RNA (2669 nucleotides) under Citrus maxima (pomelo). Its description in RNAcentral is "long non-coding RNA (CMAX_LNC002803)". Lineage: Eukaryota; Viridiplantae; Streptophyta; Magnoliopsida; Sapindales; Rutaceae. The record is from RNAcentral.